This 212-nucleotide long non-coding RNA is filed under the name Homo sapiens (human). Its description in RNAcentral is "HSALNT0130796". The record is from RNAcentral. Lineage: Eukaryota; Metazoa; Chordata; Mammalia; Primates; Hominidae.
AAGGCGCCAUUAAUAUUCAUUUUUGCGGUACCUUCCGCAGCCCCGAGGCUCGCAAUGCCCUGUGCGGUGCCUGGCUUCAGUUAGCUUCCUGCAGCCAGACGCCAAGCCCCUCCGCCAGAGCCGCGCAGAUUCCGGCGCCCCUGCCCCUCCUACCCAUCGCUCCCACCCAUCGCUCAACGCUCAGGGUCACCAGCCGAGGGUCUGGUGGGGGA